AUGGUAUGGCAGGCGGCGCCGGCUGCGGAUGAGGCAGGGGAGGGGGACAAGCCCCUGACCGAACCCGUGGAGGAGGAGCUGGAGAGUCCGCGCAGGCGGCCUUGGGUGGUGGAGAAGGGGAAGGCGGCGCUGGUGGUGGAGAGUUCGAGCAGGCACAGUAAGUCGAUGGUUUCUCGGCUCGCCAAUAAGGGCAAGGCGUCUGCGGCUGAGGCGGAGAGGGGGAAGUUGGCGACGGUGGUGGAGGAGCUGGUCAAGUGUUCGCGCAAGCGGAGUAGGCCAGUGUCUUUCUGCCCCGCCCAGAAGGUGCCUACUAAGGGGAUCAAGGCCGCUGAGACUAAGGUGGCGGAUGUCGCUACGGCGGUGGGGGGGAAAGAGUGGGAUGCGAAGAUGUCCAUGGCCGAUCUUGAGCAUUUCAACCUUCUCAAGGAUUUGAACGCCGGAUCAAGGCCUUUACUUCCCAAAGUUUACAAGGUGAACGUCCAUUCUGCGCCCCCUUAUGAACUCGUUAAAGGCAAAAUGCAUGCUCCGGGUGGGAAACAGGAAUUCUACUAUUUCCAUAGCCAUCCGGCACCAGGCACGAGGGGGAGACGAUGCCGCUAUGUUGACGGUGGCGGCAUCUGGCGGCCGGAGAAUCGCACGUCAAUACUUGACGCGGACAAGUCCAUUUUGUUGCUCAAGAGAAAGCUGUCCUACGUGCUCACUGACAGUGGUGGAGUACCUGCGCGUACCGGGUGGUGCAUGGCGGAAUUCUCGCUAGAGAAUCAGCACGACAACGUCGACGAGAUGGUGUUGUGCAUUCUCUAUCGGUCUAAUCACAGCUAUCCAGAAAUAUCAACGACAGCCAGCACCUCUCUCGUCGCAGAGUUUACAUUGAUUGCGCAGGGAUGUGAUGUGGCGGAGGAGGACGGAGUAACUAUACACGAGUCACUGGGAUCGCCCGGCAGCGACAUGCCAUCUCCAGGGCAGGCCAUGGACGAGGCGGUGGGUUUGGACAAUCUCCAUGAGCGUGGAUUGGAUAAGCUGAUUGUUUCAGAAGUUUCACCAGGAGCGCAACUUGAUGUUGAGCUCCUGCAGCUCAAUGAACUCAACGACUUCCUGCUGGCACCCGUUCAAGUUGAAGCUGAGGAGGACCAUGCGGAUCUUGAUCGUCCAGACAACGAUCCGAUAGUCGAGUUCACCGUUCCGUCGCUUGAUGUUGCCGACUACCUGCAGAUGCAAAAUGGAGUAGAGUCCUACCUGCAGAUUCCCAAUGAAAUCGAUGAGAACUGUACACCUGAAGCUGAGGCCCAACAUCACCAGAAGCAGAAGCAGAAGCAGGGACUCCAGGUGGGGGUGGGCGGCAGUGAAUCUAGCAAUGCUCUGGAAGAGGUCGGCUGGGAGCUGGACGGGUUCUGGGACAGCAUACUAGAGGGCGACGACAACAUCUACGACGCUGGGGUGCGUGUAACUGAGGAGGCUGCAGGACAGGGCUACCGCAUUUCAUCUCAAGUGGCACCGUUUGUGGGCGAGCUUUUCCAGACGGAGUGGGAACCAACUGACAAUGGCCAGUACACAUUGUUGUCAGAAGGAAGAAGAAACUGCCAAAAAAAUCAGCACCCAAUCGACAGGGAAUUAGAGGGAGCAGAGCGGGCAGUGGAAGGAAACCUGCGGGAUGAGCAACUCGCGUGGGUCGGCGAUGAGGUCGAGGAAGAACUUGAUGGGCAGAAGAAGUGCAUAGGGAAGAAACAAAAAAAAUCAGCAACCAAUCAACAGAAAGCAAGAGGGAGCGAGAAGUUGAAGAACAACCUCCUGGAUGAGCAGCUCACGUGGCUCGACGGGGAGGUCGAGGAGGAGCCAGAGGGGAAGAAGAACUGCACACCCGCAGCAGACGAGGAGAAAGCAAAGAUGCUAGAGGUCGCCAACGCCGUUGAUGUGGACGGGACUGGCUGCAUCGGCCAACUUCCGCCCGGCCAUGGCACUGAAGGGAAGAAACAAGAAAAGAAAGGAAAUUCAGCAAUCAAUCAACAGAGAGGAAGAGGGAGCAACGUGCGGAUGAGCAACUCGCGUGGCUCGGUGGCGAUGUCGGGGAAGAAGGAACCACUCGUCCGCAGCAGACGAAGAGAAAGCGAGGUCGCCCGCGUCGUCGAUGUGGACGAGACCGGCUGCAUCCGCCCGGGCAUGGCACUGAAGGCCAGCUUGUUCUGCAGCAACGCCUCACCUGCGACCAACCAGAACAGGAGAGCCAAGUCAUACGGCCUGGUGAGGCUGUUCUUUGCCUGCAUCUGCAUGGUCGCCGGCGGCAUCCAGUACGCCUGGGCGCUGCAGCUCUCCCUCCUCUCCCCCUACUCUCAGGUGCCACCCAUCGUGGGUUACUACAGCGACCGGUGCACAGCGAUGAUGGGCCGGAGAAGACCCUUCAUCGUCGCGGGAUGUCUCGUCAUCUGCCUCUCCAUGAUGCUCAUCGGCUUCUCGGCGGACAUUGGGCGGCUACUCGGGGACACCAAGGAGCAUUGCACCACCAGCACGGGCCCUCGCUGGGCCGCCAUAGCUGUGUAUAUUGUCGGGUUCUGGUUCCUCAAUUUCGCCAACAAUGCCGCCCAAGGUCCGGCUCGUGCGCUGAUGGCUGAUCUCUCUGCUCAUGUCAUUCAGAUCGUCAUUAUCAUCAGUACGUCCAUCACCAUGUAUAUUGCUGAAGAGAAGCAGCUCGACAAUGCCGACGUGGAGGCCCCCUUUGGCCGACGUGGAUGCAUAUGCGGCUUUGGCGACUUCUUCAAGAGCUUGAAGAACCUUCCCCCAUCUAUGUUCAAAGUGCUCGCCGUCACGGCUGUAACCUGGCUGGCGUGGUUCCCCUUCAUCCAGUAUGGCACUGACUGGAUGGGCAGGGAGAUCUACCACGGCGAGCUGCAGGGGCCCAAGGUGGCCGUCUACUAUGCCGGCGUCCGCGAGGGCGCCGUUGGCCUGCUGCUCUCUUCUAUAUGCCUCUUGGCCGCCGCCUUCAACACCCCCCACCUUUGCGGUAGGCUCACGUCAAGGGUCGUGUGGUCCUUAAGCAACUUCAUCCUAUUUGGCAUCAUGACGGCCAUGGUGAUCCUUGGCUUGGUCUCUACCAAGGGGUACAACGCGUCUUUUACGGCUGGCCUCACCGGCCCUGACCCCAAGCUCAGGGUCAUCGCGCUCUCCCUCUUCGCGCUCAUCGGAAUCCCACAGGCCGUGUUGUUCAGUGUACCGUGGGCUGUUGCUUCUAAGCUUGCCGACGACAGUGGCCAAGGCCUCGCCAUUGGUGUCCUCAACAUUGGUGUCCUCUGUUUUACGAUUUCUCUUCGUGAAAAUUGUUUUGCGCAGGUCGGCGGUGACUGGCGUGAGGACUUGCUCGCCGCCGUGAGCGAAGCGCGGCCAUGUGAGCUGCUUGUGCUUAUGCACGCUGUACCAGCGGCUCGACCUCCCUCGAUGCCCUCCAUGACCCACAUAUCCUCCUUGUUCAUCGCCUGCGAGACGUGGCUAAUGGCGAUGCAGAGCCUCCAUUUGGCGACGCCAGAUAUGAUGGAGGGUAUUAGGCGACAGCACGGACGGCAGUGA
This 3555-nucleotide ribosomal RNA is filed under the name Triticum aestivum (bread wheat). RNAcentral's name for it is "partial small subunit ribosomal RNA". The record is from RNAcentral. Lineage: Eukaryota; Viridiplantae; Streptophyta; Magnoliopsida; Poales; Poaceae.